RNAcentral lists this ribosomal RNA (427 nucleotides) under uncultured bacterium. RNAcentral's name for it is "partial 16S ribosomal RNA". It matches the Rfam family "Bacterial small subunit ribosomal RNA", at positions 355 to 774 of the family's 1533-position model. The record is from RNAcentral.
UGGGGAAUAUUGCACAAUGGGCGCAAGCCUGAUGCAGCCAUGCCGCGUGUAUGAAGAAGGCCUUCGGGUUGUAAAGUACUUUCAGCGGGGAGGAAGGUGUUGUGGUUAAUAACCACAGCAAUUGACGUUACCCGCAGAAGAAGCACCGGCUAACUCCGUGCCAGCAGCCGCGGUAAUACGGAGGGUGCAAGCGUUAAUCGGAAUUACUGGGCGUAAAGCGCACGCAGGCGGUUUGUCAAGUCGGAUGUGAAAUCCCCGGGCUCAACCUGGGAACUGCAUCCGAAACUGGCAGGCUUGAGUCUUGUAGAGGGGGGUAGAAUUCCAGGUGUAGCGGUGAAAUGCGUAGAGAUCUGGAGGAAUACCGGCGGCGAAGGCGGCCCCCUGGACAAAGACUGACGCUCAGGUGCGAAAGCGUGGGGAGCAAACA